UGAGUAACGCGUAGGAAUCUACCCAGUAGCGGGGGAUAAGCCAGAGAAAUUUGGUCUAAUACCGCAUACGCCCUUCGGGGGAAAGCAGGGGAUCUUCGGACCUUGCACUAUUGGAUGAGCCUGCGUGAGAUUAGCUAGUUGGUGAGGUAAUGGCUCACCAAGGCGACGAUCUCUAGCUGGUCUGAGAGGAUGAUCAGCCACACUGGAACUGAGACACGGUCCAGACUCCUACGGGAGGCAGCAGUGGGGAAUAUUGCACAAUGGGCGCAAGCCUGAUGCAGCCAUGCCGCGUGUGUGAAGAAGGCCCUAGGGUUGUAAAGCACUUUCAGCAGUGAGGAAAGGUUAGUAGUUAAUACCUGCUAGCUGUGACGUUAACCGCAGAAGAAGCACCGGCUAACUCCGUGCCAGCAGCCGCGGUAAUACGGAGGGUGCGAGCGUUAAUCGGAAUUACUGGGCGUAAAGCGCGCGUAGGUGGAUUGGUCAGUCAGAUGUGAAAGCCCAGGGCUCAACCUUGGAACUGCACCUGAUACUGCCAGUCUAGAAUACGGUA
This 550-nucleotide ribosomal RNA is filed under the name uncultured bacterium. Its description in RNAcentral is "bacterial SSU rRNA". It matches the Rfam family "Bacterial small subunit ribosomal RNA", at positions 107 to 653 of the family's 1533-position model. The record is from RNAcentral.